This 643-nucleotide ribosomal RNA is filed under the name Enterococcus hirae. Its description in RNAcentral is "bacterial SSU rRNA". It matches the Rfam family "Bacterial small subunit ribosomal RNA", at positions 72 to 688 of the family's 1533-position model. Lineage: Bacteria; Bacillati; Bacillota; Bacilli; Lactobacillales; Enterococcaceae. The record is from RNAcentral.
UUUUUCCACCGGAGCUUGCUCCACCGGAAAAGAGGAGUGGCGAACGGGUGAGUAACACGUGGGUAACCUGCCCAUCAGAAGGGGAUAACACUUGGAAACAGGUGCUAAUACCGUAUAACAAUCGAAACCGCAUGGUUUUGAUUUGAAAGGCGCUUUCGGGUGUCGCUGAUGGAUGGACCCGCGGUGCAUUAGCUAGUUGGUGAGGUAACGGCUCACCAAGGCGACGAUGCAUAGCCGACCUGAGAGGGUGAUCGGCCACAUUGGGACUGAGACACGGCCCAAACUCCUACGGGAGGCAGCAGUAGGGAAUCUUCGGCAAUGGACGAAAGUCUGACCGAGCAACGCCGCGUGAGUGAAGAAGGUUUUCGGAUCGUAAAACUCUGUUGUUAGAGAAGAACAAGGAUGAGAGUAACUGUUCAUCCCUUGACGGUAUCUAACCAGAAAGCCACGGCUAACUACGUGCCAGCAGCCGCGGUAAUACGUAGGUGGCAAGCGUUGUCCGGAUUUAUUGGGCGUAAAGCGAGCGCAGGCGGUUUCUUAAGUCUGAUGUGAAAGCCCCCGGCUCAACCGGGGAGGGUCAUUGGAAACUGGGAGACUUGAGUGCAGAAGAGGAGAGUGGAAUUCCAUGUGUAGCGGUGAAAUG